ACAAGGGGUGGCGAAAGCGUGGGGAGCAAACAGGAUUAGAUACAGCUGGUAGUCCACGCUGUAAACGAUGUCGAUUUAGAGGUUGUGGUCUUGAACCGUGGCUUCUGGAGCUAACGCGUUAAAUCGACCGCCUGGGGAGUACGGCCGCAAGGUUAAAACUCAAAUGAAUUGACGGGGGCCCGCACAAGCGGUGGAGCAUGUGGUUUAAUUCGAUGCAACGCGAAGAACCUUACCUACUCUUGACAUCCAGCGAAUCCUUUAGAGAUAGAGGAGUGCCUUCGGGAACGCUGAGACAGGUGCUGCAUGGCUGUCGUCAGCUCGUGUUGUGAAAUGUUGGGUUAAGUCCCGCAACGAGCGCAACCCUUAUCCUUUGUUGCCAGCGCGUCAUGGCGGGAACUCAAAGGAGACUGCCGGUGAUAAACCGGAUGAAGGUGGGGAUGACGUCACCCUCCUCACGGCACUUACGAGUGGGGCUACACACGUGCUACAAUGGAAACAUACAAGGACCACCGACCUCGCAAGACCACGCGUAUCUCAUACAGUCUGUCGUAGUGC
This 555-nucleotide ribosomal RNA is filed under the name Proteus vulgaris. RNAcentral's name for it is "bacterial SSU rRNA". It matches the Rfam family "Bacterial small subunit ribosomal RNA", at positions 743 to 1294 of the family's 1533-position model. The record is from RNAcentral. Lineage: Bacteria; Pseudomonadati; Pseudomonadota; Gammaproteobacteria; Enterobacterales; Morganellaceae.